UUGGGUUAAGUCCCGUAACGAGCGCAACCCUUGUCCUUAGUUACCAGCACGUUAGUGGUGGGCACUCUAAGGGAGACUGCCGGUGACAAACCGGAGGAAGGUGGGGAUGACGUCAAGUCAUCAUGGCCCUUACGGCCUGGGCUACACACGUGCUACAAUGGUCGGUACAAAGGGUUGCCAAGCCGCGAGGUGGAGCUAAUCCCAUAAAACCGAUCGUAGUCCGGAUCGCAGUCUGCAACUCGACUGCGUGAAGUCGGAAUCGCUAGUAAUCGUGAAUCAGAAUGUCACGGUGAAUACGUUCCCGGGCCUU
This 310-nucleotide ribosomal RNA is filed under the name uncultured Pseudomonas sp. RNAcentral describes it as "bacterial SSU rRNA". It matches the Rfam family "Bacterial small subunit ribosomal RNA", at positions 1075 to 1382 of the family's 1533-position model. Lineage: Bacteria; Pseudomonadati; Pseudomonadota; Gammaproteobacteria; Pseudomonadales; Pseudomonadaceae. The record is from RNAcentral.